GCCAGGCGCAGUAACACGUGCCUGUAGUCCCAGCUACUCAGGAGGCUGAGGUGGGAGGAUCACUUGAGCCCAGUAGUUCUGGGCUGUAGGGUGCUAUGCCGAUUGGGUGUCCGCACUAAGUUUGGCAUCAAUAUGAGUUUGGCAUCAAUAUGGUGACCUCCUGGGAGCAGCGACCACCAGGUUGCCUAAGGAGGGGUGAACCAGCCCAGGUCCGAAAAAAAGAACUACGCUAAAUCUACUCUGCGAUCUAUCAGUAAAGUAAUAAAGCCUGAAUGACAGCACAUCUGUUUACAGCAUGGUUUACUGACUAUUUUAAGCCCAUUAUU
This 326-nucleotide signal recognition particle RNA is filed under the name Colobus angolensis palliatus. Its description in RNAcentral is "Metazoan signal recognition particle RNA (ENSCANG00000003729.1)". It matches the Rfam family "Metazoan signal recognition particle RNA". From Rfam's summary of the family: The signal recognition particle (SRP) is a universally conserved ribonucleoprotein. Lineage: Eukaryota; Metazoa; Chordata; Mammalia; Primates; Cercopithecidae. The record is from RNAcentral.